Molecule: transfer RNA, 68 nt
Filed under: Marmota monax (woodchuck)
Lineage: Eukaryota; Metazoa; Chordata; Mammalia; Rodentia; Sciuridae
Description: tRNA.Val
Source: RNAcentral
GGAUUGUGGCUCAGAGGUAGAGCACUUGCCUAACAUGUGUGAGGCACUGGGUUUAAUUCUCAGCACCA